UGUUUCGGCUAGGGGGUCAUCCCGACUUACCAACCCGAUGCAAACUACGAAUACCGAAGAAUGUUAUCACGGGAGACACACGGCGGGUGCUAACGUCCGUCGUGAAGAGGGAAACAACCCAGACCGCCAGCUAAGGUCCCAAAGUCAUGGUUAAGUGGGAAACGAUGUGGGAAGGCCCAGACAGCCAGGAUGUUGGCUUAGAAGCAGCCAUCAUUUAAAGAAAGCGUAAUAGCUCACUGGUCGAGUCGGCCUGCGCGGAAGAUGUAACGGGGCUAAACCAUGCACCGAAGCUGCGGCAGCGACACUAUGUGUUGUUGGGUAGGGGAGCGUUCUGUAAGCCGUUGAAGGUGGCCUGUGAGGGUUGCUGGAGGUAUCAGAAGUGCGAAUGCUGACAUAAGUAACGAUAAUGCGGGUGAAAAACCCGCACGCCGGAAGACCAAGGGUUCCUGUCCAACGUUAAUCGGGG
Molecule: ribosomal RNA, 466 nt
Filed under: Klebsiella michiganensis
Lineage: Bacteria; Pseudomonadati; Pseudomonadota; Gammaproteobacteria; Enterobacterales; Enterobacteriaceae
Description: partial 23S ribosomal RNA
Rfam family: Bacterial large subunit ribosomal RNA
Source: RNAcentral